Molecule: transfer RNA, 73 nt
Filed under: Flammulina velutipes KACC42780
Lineage: Eukaryota; Fungi; Basidiomycota; Agaricomycetes; Agaricales; Physalacriaceae
Description: tRNA-Arg (TCT) (tRNA-Arg-TCT-1-1)
Rfam family: tRNA
About the family: Transfer RNA (tRNA) molecules are approximately 80 nucleotides in length. Their secondary structure includes four short double-helical elements and three loops (D, anti-codon, and T loops). Further hydrogen bonds mediate the characteristic L-shaped molecular structure. tRNAs have two regions of fundamental functional importance: the anti-codon, which is responsible for specific mRNA codon recognition, and the 3' end, to which the tRNAs corresponding amino acid is attached (by aminoacyl-tRNA synthetases). tRNAs cope with the degeneracy of the genetic code in two manners: having more than one tRNA (with a specific anti-codon) for a particular amino acid; and 'wobble' base-pairing, i.e. permitting non-standard base-pairing at the 3rd anti-codon position.
Source: RNAcentral
GCCCCCGUUGUCUAAUGGUUAUGACGUCAGCCUUCUAAGCUGGAGGUUGCGGGUUCGAACCCCGCCGGGGGUU